Long non-coding RNA from Acanthopagrus latus (yellowfin seabream), 485 nucleotides. RefSeq lists it as uncharacterized. NCBI's taxonomy places the organism in Eukaryota, Metazoa, Chordata, Actinopteri, Spariformes, Sparidae. The record is from RefSeq and is a predicted model, not a curated record. The transcript has 2 exons.
AAAUUGUGAGCAGGAGCCAUCUGGCUAUCCAACAUAGUAUCUGCUGUCAUACCACCAUACAGAGCAGCUUCAGGCUGUGAGACUCCUGAACUCAAUUUUAUGAAAUAGAUGUAGCACAAAUGACUCAAACACACUUUCGCUCAACCAGAUUCACCCAGGGGUUUGUUCCUAUUCAGCCUUUCUUGGUGCGGUAUGAUCAGUUGAUUGCACUGGCUGAGUGUCACCCACAUCCACUGCCUGUGUUCCCGUUGGGGUGGAGCGUUUCUCAGCCACACAAGCACAGAGAUGCCUCUGGUGAUCCUCAGUCGGCUCCCAGGUUGCCCCCUCGGUGAUCCUCUGUUGGUGGUCCUACGAGCUUCCAGGAGUGUUCCCGAGGCAGGGGUCCGACUUCCAGUGGGUCCCAGCCCACGCCGCCUCUGCCAGCCUAUGUUUAAAUGUUUUUGGUGUUCAGCUUUGGCAAAAUAAAACUUUUUGUUCCCCCCUUA